RNAcentral lists this small nuclear RNA (189 nucleotides) under Bos grunniens (domestic yak). RNAcentral's name for it is "U2 spliceosomal RNA (ENSBGRG00000023511.1)". It matches the Rfam family "U2 spliceosomal RNA". From Rfam's summary of the family: U2 is a small nuclear RNA (snRNA) component of the spliceosome (involved in pre-mRNA splicing). Complementary binding between U2 snRNA (in an area lying towards the 5' end but 3' to hairpin I) and the branchpoint sequence (BPS) of the intron results the bulging out of an unpaired adenosine, on the BPS, which initiates a nucleophilic attack at the intronic 5' splice site, thus starting the first of two transesterification reactions that mediate splicing. Lineage: Eukaryota; Metazoa; Chordata; Mammalia; Artiodactyla; Bovidae. The record is from Rfam by way of RNAcentral.
AUCACUUCUCAGUCUUUUGAAUAAGAUCAAGUGUAGUAUCUGCUCUUAUGAGUUUAAUACCUGAUCGUCCUCUAUCUGAGGACAGUAUAUUAAAUGGAUUUUGGAGCAGGGACUUGGAAUAGGAGCUUGCUCCAUCCACUCCAAGCAUCAGCCUGGUAUUUCAGUACUUCCAAGAAUGGUGCAUCCUCU